RNAcentral lists this long non-coding RNA (379 nucleotides) under Sorghum bicolor (sorghum). Its description in RNAcentral is "long non-coding RNA (SBIC_LNC015392)". Lineage: Eukaryota; Viridiplantae; Streptophyta; Magnoliopsida; Poales; Poaceae. The record is from RNAcentral.
GCGAGAGCAGCAGCGGUAGCCACGAGCGUCAGGUUCUCGAUGAUGUUUUCACUUGCAAUUGGAUCUGUUGCUUCAUGCAGGGCCGUGAGUGCUCUCUCUCGCUCUUUGUUUCAUUUUUUCUUCUAGGUGCUUUCUUAGGGCCCGUUCGUUUCUCACGGAAUGGAGACCUGGAAUGAUUUCAGCCAGAAACAUUAUGUAAAUUUAUACUAUUUUUGAUCGUCUGAAAUGAAUCCAUCGGGAACAAAGGCUAAACGAACGAGCCCUUAGUAAUCACUCUCAUGGUUAGCUGAUCUGAGAUCUGAGAGGUUAUAUUAUAUGAAUCCAUUUUAAUUAGUCCCUCUAUAACCUUUUUUCAUGUUUGCCUUCUGAAGAAUCAUCA